AGACCGUCUAGGUCCUCUCACAAGGUCAAUGGCUAAGCAUGUACAAGCACAAGUGGAUGAAGCCACGGAUGGAAGAGAGAAAGCCUUGUACAUGUUGCAUAAAGGCCCAAUAGGGGUACUUAGUAGAUAGGGUAGUGUAGAAAGCACAUUUGAUGGAAACAUUCUAGAAACUUGCUAGGUGUGACCGGUCAUAGCACAUGGCCUAGGCUUUGCAUUUCAUUUGGUUUACAUUUCAUUAUGUAUUAGCUUAAGAAUCAC
RNAcentral lists this long non-coding RNA (258 nucleotides) under Phaseolus vulgaris (common bean). Its description in RNAcentral is "long non-coding RNA (PVUL_LNC001004)". Lineage: Eukaryota; Viridiplantae; Streptophyta; Magnoliopsida; Fabales; Fabaceae. The record is from RNAcentral.